UCCUCCUCCUUGGGUUUGGCUUGCACUUUCUUCUCAGGUCUUUCUCCUCUGAGGCAGAAGAAGCCCCUGGGCCAAGACUGAGAAUUAUUAGUAUUAAUAUUAGUAAUAUUACAUCUUAGUAUCUAGUCUUCUCAGGCUGACGAAUGGUGAGCACAAGAUACUGUCUUGCCAACACUGGAAAGUGUUUGUUUCAUCACCUGGGAAGCUACCUGGGAUGUUGACAUUCUCUUGCCCCGACUCUUCAUUUCUGAGUUCAGAAUACCCUUCCUGGUUCAUAGUUUACUUAUCUUUUCCUAAUUUUGUCAGGCAUUAU
This 313-nucleotide long non-coding RNA is filed under the name Canis lupus familiaris (dog). RNAcentral's name for it is "lncRNA (ENSCAFG00040024966.1)". The record is from RNAcentral. Lineage: Eukaryota; Metazoa; Chordata; Mammalia; Carnivora; Canidae.